UCAUUUCAGGUUUGUCUGUCUCUCCCUGGGAAUAAGAUUGCCCCUCUACCUUUUCCUCUCCACCCAAGGAGAAGAUGAAUUUCUCAAAAAAGAAGGCGCGACGGCCACCCAGCCACUAAGCUCACAGGCAUUGUUCUUGAUGCAUUUCAAGACCUUGCUGAGUAAAGGGAUGAGGUCGUACUGAGAAAAGCAGACGUUUCCACACUUAAAAAAAAAUAAACGGCCUGAGUGUUCUAAGACAGCUGAGACAAUAUGAGCCCCAGUACCUGAACAAUAUCAGG
This is a long non-coding RNA of Macrobrachium nipponense, 281 nucleotides long. RefSeq lists it as uncharacterized. The record is from RefSeq and is a predicted model, not a curated record. The transcript is spliced from 5 exons. Lineage: Eukaryota; Metazoa; Arthropoda; Malacostraca; Decapoda; Palaemonidae.